GUUUUCAGUAGCUGUACCACCGGAGGGUGGGAAAAGAAAUGAAAACAUUAAUUUGGAGAGUUAUUGCCAGAUAUUUGAGGAAACUAGAAUUGAAAGUUUGGUAAGGUCUGGCAAAAUAUGAAAGACAACUGAUCCAGUUUACAGAUAGAUGACAAACCUCCAAGACAAAGAAGGACCAGAGUCAGAUAACUCACAAAGGGAGAGCACAAGGUGGGGAAGACAGAGAGAGUGUGACUGAGGAUCCUCAGUGGGCUCUGCGCUGACGGGAUCACAGGAGCAAGCCCGGUAUGGGGCUCAAACUCAGGAACCACGAGAUCAUGACCUGAGCUGAAGUCAGCCUCUCAACCGACUGAGCCACCCAUCAGCCCCUGAAUGUUUCUCCCCUUUAAUUAAAGUCCCCUGUGCUGAGGUAUUUUCCUUCUACAUGAUUCCAGCUCUUCGCAGAUCUGUUGUAAUUCAGAGAGCCAUACAUCCUUGCCAUUCAGCAUUACUUUCUCCUGCUUCUACUUAUUCAGAGUCCUGUUCUUGUGUUUGCUGAAGCUUGUAGAAUAAAUUAGUUAAAUUGAGUAAA
Long non-coding RNA from Hyaena hyaena (striped hyena), 571 nucleotides. RefSeq lists it as uncharacterized. The transcript is spliced from 2 exons. Lineage: Eukaryota; Metazoa; Chordata; Mammalia; Carnivora; Hyaenidae. The record is from RefSeq and is a predicted model, not a curated record.